GAGGGGCAUGCCACUCCCUGCUUGCUUUAUUUACUACUCCAGUCCACUAUUCUCUUAGUUUGUGGAAGCCAAACUCCUUGGUUUGGAAUCAACCUUCCGCGAUCAAUCCACUUCAAUUUCCUCUCAUGUUGCCAAGGCAAGAAUUAAUGGCCUAGCAAUAGCAGUAGCACAAGGUUCAGGCCAGAGUACUGAUGCAUAUACCAGAGAAUGGAAAGUAGUAGCAGGAACACAUGUAGUUCCAUGGAACUAACUUAACUUUAUUUUUUGCAAUCCUUUCCACAUUAAUUUGCCAUUCAUUAAGAUGCCAAAAUAACAAAGACAUAUAUCAGAGAAACUUGGUAUUCCUCCAGCUAGAAUUAACAAAAAAAAAAAAAAGAAAAAGAUAAAAAGAGACAAAAAAGAAGAGAAAGGAAAGAAACUCCCUACAUUUUUCCACGUUUCUUCUAAGCAAACCUUUGGGAUAUAUGAAGCAUGAAUAGAACUAGGGUUCAAAAAGGUAAAUAUAUACUAGCAGGAAAAAAAGUACAAUAAUAGCUAGGAUUUUGAGGUUCAUUGAACCAGGACAAUUUCGUACGGAGACGAGUUAUACAACAGGGAAUGUUGGAUGCCUUUUUAAGAUUUUUUUUUUUUUAAAGUUAAAAGCUUAAAAUAAUAUUACGUAUAAGGACUGACCUGGAAAGGAGUUUUUAUAAGAAAUUGUAGAGAUUGGAAAUCCCUAACAAAAUUAAGAUGUUUGCUUGGAAAUUAAAUAACGGUUUCCUACAUGUUUAGAACAGAUUAUGGCAGAGGGGAAUUGAUGUUGAUACAUGUCCAAGAUGUGGUCUACUUGAGGAGACAAUAACAAAUGCUCUGUGACAUUGUGAAAGUAUCAGCACAGUUUGGAACCUGGCUGAUUUGCCACCCAGAUGGAGGAAUAUAAACCUGGCAGCAGAUGGAGGCUGGAUUGAAGAAAUAGCAGAUGCGGUGGACACAGCGAGUUUGGUUAGCGGGCCUGGUUCUCUGUUGGGCAGCAUGGAAAACCAGGAACCAAGCUGGAAGGAGGGGACUCACCGAACAGCAGAAAUGGUGGUCCAUUUUGCCCGAAGCUAACUGUGCGAAUGUAGACAGGCAAAUGAGACCCAAUCAACACGAACACCUGAACCUGUUACUAUGUGGGAGCCACCACCUUGAGGACUCGCAAAGUUAAAUUUUGAUGGAGCUCUCAACCUAGAUGCCAGCAUGGGGGGAAUUGGGGUGAUUAUGUGGAAUGAUAGAGGACAGUUCCUAGGAGCCGUUUGUGCGAAGGUGGACCAUGUGAGAGACCCGACCAUCGUUGAGGCUUUAGCCGCUGCAAAAAUAUUGAGACUGGAUUGUGUCUUCCUUGAAGGUGAUGCCAUGCAAGUGGUAGAGUGAUGCAAGCAAGGACACGAAGACUUAUCAAAUGUGGGAAACAUCCUCGCAGAUGUAAGGGCUAUAGGAAGCACCUUAAGAUCCUUCCAGGUGGGUUAUAUCAAUCCAAAUGCAAAUGGCGUUGCUCAUUGCUUAGCUAGACAUGCUUUGAAUAAUGCCUCUGAUGAGAUAUGAUUGUGGACUAUCCAUCCAUUAUCCAAGACAUGAUCAACACUGAAUGUAAUGAUCUUCAGUAAUACAAUUAGCUUGAUUCAAAACAAAAUUAUUAUGUAAAAGUUAAGAGCUUUUUUAUAUGAAUAUAAUAUUAGGUAUGUUUUAUAUAUCUUCAUAUUAAUUACAAGAAAUGAUCAACUUACAUAGUCUAUGGGAUUGGAAAUUGAUGAGGUGGAAUGUGUAUUGGGUUGUGUGGGAUCCGGGGCGUUGUGUGCGAAGUGGCCUGAAGAGUUAAGAUGAGUUGAAAGAUUGGGAGAAAAUGGCCCAAGCUCUAAUGAUGAGACCAUGACAAGGUUUAUUGGUGCACAGCUUAUUUGUCAUGAUCAGGCCUUGGUGUGCCUCGAUCUUGCCAUGAUUGAUCCUGUGCUAAGCAGUUGUCGAGGCCCAGUUUGUGGGAUCGUGGUCUUGGAGCAUGUGUGUAGGCAUUUUAAGCACAGAAAUAUAUCGCUGAUAUAAUAUGCGGGUAGUGUGAGCCUUGGGCUGCAAGAUGCGCAAACAAGUUUGAGCUAGUGGGAGGGCCAUCAGUUGAAGCUGUGUGUAGGCAUUUUGAGCAUGGGAACAUGUUGUUGAUAUUGUGUGUGGGCAGUGUGAGUCCUAGGCCCCAAGAUACGAAAGCAAGUACGAGACAGUGGGCUGGCACCCUGGAGCUGGUUAGUCAAUCAAGUGCUGUCGGUUAAUGCCAUGUGUAGGCAUCAUCGAGAAGGUUGGUAGAGCAACAAACAAAAUCAGAGAAUUAUGGUGACUAAAAAGAAUGUCAUGGGACCCUGAGUUAGCUGGAGAAAGGCUUUAAGAUGGCUAGAGAGAAAAUUAUCCUCAUUUCAUAUAGUUUUACAGCUCUUAGUAGGAGAUUCAAAAAAUCUCUUACGCUUUUUAUAAGGGGAUGAUUGGUGUCAACUCUCCACCACUCUUUUGGCUAGCAAGCAGGUAAGGGCCUAGCUAGUUUGAAAUGAGCUACUCCUAGGCACAUAUGGUAUCUAGGUGGGCGGGCAUUGUAGGGUCACGAGUGUGGCACAAUGUCUCAUCGGGUCAUGUAAACCCGAGGAUGAUUGGAGCCGAUAGACUCGUAUCGUGCCUUUGCGUUAAGCCAUAGGGUUAGGCGAAAACAUUUGCUAUGCCCCUCAGUUUCCCUUCCUUGAGCUGGAAGGAUCAUAAAAUGGUGCUUGCAUAGGAGGGGCACCAUCGAGCCUGAGGGAUGAGCAGGCUAGUAGGCAAGCAUGCUGCUAGACCCUUGUGACUAAUUGUUAGAAGGGUACUACAGCUGGGGCAGUACACCCAAGUCUCCCAUGUGGGAUUAGCAUGAUUUUGGGUGUUAAUCAUGAGUAUGGAUAGCCUAAAUUGAGGCUAAAGGCUUGGGCUCUAAGAAUUGAAUUUCGUGGGAUGAGAUGAGCCUAGAGGCUUUGAGUUGGUUGCUAACCAGCAUAUGUGUUGUGCUUGCGAGGUUUUGGCAUGAGAGUUUGUUUAUGAUGCAAUCAGGCAUGGUAUUGGGUUUUCCCUAUGCCAAAAAGCAAUAAUAUCAUGAAAAUCGAGGCUAUGCGCUCUUAUGACAAUUCGAGGGUCAGUACUCGAGACUUUAAGCCUUACAAGUUGAGAUGGGUGUUCGAGGCCACCGUGAAAAUCAUGGGCUAAUGUGUUAAUGGGAGUUGGGUUCCUCUCUAUCGAGUUUAGGAAUGUUCGACCUUACGGGGUUUGAGCCAAGAAAGGCUUACUAAUGAGCGGCUUGAAGGAUCUAUAUCAAGCUGUUCAUGAGAAAAUGGACUCAAGAAAGGGUGACCUUGACUAUGAGUAGUCUUAGUGCCACACGGAUGUGUGAUUUCAGAAUAAAAAAUGCAUGGCCCAUGACAUUGUGGUAUCAGAGCCUAGUUCGGUUCAGCGAUGGGAUUAAUGCAACCAUGGUUGUGGGCAUGAUAAUGUGAAAUUGAGGCGGUGUUAAGCUGAAAAAGAGUUAUCGAGAUGCGAAUGCAGUUCUGUGGCUAUAACGACUCAAGAAUGAGCCAACGAUGUGUGCUGUGGGAAAAUUUGGCCUAGUUGAGAGACCUUCGAGUAGGCUCUUGGAUGUUAGGUAAAAGGGCAUAAGAGUCUAACCUUACCUAAAAAAAGGUGAUGACGCAUGUGGGCAUGUAAUGCCUUUACAGUGGAAAGAACUGUGGUAAGACCAAAAUGCGAAAAGGGCAUACAUUAUGAAAUAGUGUUGAGUAAGGCCAUAUAGGCCAAAGCAAGUUUUAUCCUAAGGGACAUGAGCCAUGUAUACGUAUUGAGAUUAGUUACUAAUGUAUGCACUUAUUGUAUGGUAUAGGUGCCCUAAUAGGGAUACGAGCUGAGUAUUCGGUCCAAGUGUGGAGCCAUUCUAUAGAGGUAGAUGAGCUUGAGCUGGCUAAAGAUUGAAGCUAUGAGUUGUGAUGGUCGGUGGAACAUGAAUCCUUGUGGUCAGAAGAUCACGAGAGUGUGCGAGUUAGUGGACUAUUUUUUAUGUUGGUCGAGAGAGAAGUGAGUGGUGAUGGUUAGUGGGCCAGAAUAGUGUUCAGUUCAAUGGAACAAACAAUAAAAAUUGGCCAGUUGAUAAGGCCUUGAGAUGUGUAGGUCAGAGGACUGAUCGAGUUGAGUAUGCUAAGGGUAUAGGCAUUUGAGCUGUGCAUCCGAUCAAUGGAUUGGACAAGUUUGAGUAAGGCAAAGGAUAAGCCAAUUGAGAUUGAGCUAAAUACCGACCUAAGGGAUAGCCUUGAGUUCGAGUAGUUAGCAGACCUUGAGUAUCAAGUGGGUUGGUAAACCUUUGAGUCGAGUAAGUUAGUGGAUAAUGUGUUUAGUUGGAUUAGUGGAUCCUUGAGUAUUGAAUGGGCUUUGAGAUGCCCUAUAAGCCAUGCUAGAAUCACGAAAAUAAGUUGUGAACCAUAAGGAGACAUGGUUGCAUAUAAAGCCGAGCCGAGUUCGAAUAAAAAUGGGGGAAAAAGGUGUUUUCCCAUGAAAUUGAGCCAAAAUAGUGAAGCCUAUAAGUUAGUUGAGAACCAUGGUUAAAUCUAAGAUAGAGAAAAAGAUAGCGUGUAUUAAAGUGCCAUCAUAAGGACGGUUGACUGAGGGCUACACCUAGAAAGGUGACCUUGGAGGGGUCGAAAUGACCCAAGUUGUGAGAUGAUCGAAGUGUUUGAAUGCCAUUAUGCUAGGGUCUAUCCUGUGUGGUGCCGUAUGAGUACAGUUGACCAAAACACCACGUCUAGAGGGGCGCAUUAAAGAGUUAAUGCCACAAGUAUGCAGUUGGUGUGGGUGAUCACAUCCAAUGGGGUGUACCAAUGAGUGGCAAAGCAGAUGGUCAUUCAUUCUACUGAGAGUCAUGAUCAACAAGGGUGCCUCGAGGUCAUAACAUGAUAUAAUCAUGGGUAAAGUAGUGUUGUGGCACAUAUUGAGUAAUCGAGAUGGAAAUAGAGUAGAGGUACAUUGAAGCUAAAAGGAGACCUAUCUACAUCGAUAAUGGAUGAGUAUUAUGGGGGGUGCCCUAUAUAAUGGGAUCUUGACCCAAUCUUUGAGGGUACAAGUGAGAGACAUAUGAGUAAAUGUCAAUUGUGUGUAAUAAAAGAGUUGGGCGUGGUCUUGGCAUUGAUGAAGGCAUCAACAUAGUAAGUAAGGAAAAGUGUCAUGGUUAAGCCUUGGUGUGCCUCGGUCUUGCCAUGACUGACCUUAUGCUGAGUAGCUGUUGAGAUCGAGUUUACGAUACCAUGGUCUUAGAGCAUGUGUGCGGGCAUUUUAAGCACGAGAAUAUAUUACUGAUAUAAUGUGCAGGCAGUGUGAGCCUUAGGUCAUAAGAUGUGCAAGCAAGUUCGAGCAAGUAGACAGGUACCCUCGAGUCGGGUAACCAGUCAAGUGCCAUUGAUCGAAGCUAUGUGCAAGCAUUUUGAGCAUGGAAACAUGUUGCUGAUAUUGUGUGUGGGCAGUGUGAGUCCUAGGUCUCAAGAUACAUAGACAAGUGUAAGGCAGUGGACAGGCAUCUUGAAGUCGGUUAGCCAGUCAUGAACUAUCAGUCAAAGUCAUGUGUAGGCAUCAUCGAGUGGGUUAAUGGAGCAACAAGUAGAAUUAGAGAAUUAUGGUGACCAAAAAGUAGGUCACAAGGCCCUAAGUUAGUUGGAGAAAGGCCUUGGGAUGGUUGGAGAGAAAAAUGUCCUUAUUUCAAAUAGUUUUACGAUUCUUAGUAAGAGACUCAAAAAAUCUCUUAUGCUCUUUAUAAGGAGAUGACUGGUGUUAGCUCUCCACCACCCAUUAGCUAACGGACAGGCAGAUGCUUGGCUAGUUUGAAGUAAAUUACUCCUAAGCAUAUGUGGUUUGUAGGUGGGCAAGCAUUAUAGGGUCACGAGUAUGGCACGGUGUCUCUUCGGGUCAUGGUAAACCUAGGGAAGGUUGGGGCUGACGGGCCUUUUAUUGCACCUUUGUGUUGAGCCAUAGGGUUAGGCGGUAGCGUUUGUUAUGCCCUUUGGUUUCCCUUCACUAAGCCAGAAGGAUCAUAAGAUGGUGUUUGUAUAGGAAGGGCACCAUUGAGCUUAAGGGAUGAGUGGGCUAACAAGCAAGCAUGGUGCUAGACUUUUGUGGCCAAUUGGUAGAAGGGUGCUGCAAUUGGGGUAACACACCCAAGUCCCCUAUACGAGACUAGCAUGAUGUUGGGUGUUAAUCAUGUAUACAGGCAGCCUAAAUUGAGGCUAAGGGCUUAGGCCUUAAGAGCUGAAUUUCAUGGGAUGAGAUAAGCCUAGAGGCUUUGAGCUAAUUGCUGACUAGCAUAUGUGUUGUGCUUGCGGGAUCUUGGCACGAGAGCUUACGUAUGAUGUGAACGGGCAUGGUGUUGGGUUCUUCCCAUGCUAAAAAGCAAUAAUAUCAUAAGAACCAAGGCUGUGCACUCCUAUGAGAAUUUGAGGGUCGAUGCUUGAGACCUUAAGCCCUGUGGACUGAUACAGAUGCUCGAGGCCACCAUGAAAAUCGUGGGUUGAUGCGUUGAUGGGAGUUGAGUUCCUCCUUAUUGAGUUUGGGAAUGUGCGACCUUAUAGGUCAAAGCUAAGAAAGGCUCACUAACGUGUGGCUUGAAGGAUCUAUAUCAAGCUGUUCAUGAGAAAAUGAUCUUAAGAAAGGUUAACGUCAAUUAUGAGUAAUUUUGGUGCGGCACGGACAUGUGAUUUCAGAAUAAGAAAUGCGUGGCCCAUGGCAUUACUCUUGUAGGUGGUGACAUUACUUCUAUAGGUGGUUAUAGGUUGGAGAUUAUGGGAAUUUUAACAUUGUCUAAGCAUAUCAAAGUUGAAAUGGGUUGUGUGAGGGUUUAAGGAGGAUGAUUUGGUUCAGGUUUAGGAGUUAAGUAAUGGCAUGGGGUCUAGGGAAAUUAAUUCUAAGACCUUACACAAUUCUGGUUAUUAUGGUACUGGGCUUACUUCAUGUGGGCUUGAGAAAGGAAGGGAUUAUCAGGCGUGUUUUGAUGGAUUGGGGGUUAAUAGAACAAAUAAGUUACGGAUUAGUCUUGUUUCUUAAUGAAGAGAUAGUAGAGUUAGAAGUUUGAAGGAGAUUGAGGAAUUUUUAGAAAAAUUACCUACCAGGAAAAAUAAAAAAAAGGAGGAAACAUAGUUGUUAGUAUUGGUUGUAUCAAUUGCUAUGUUUCAAUUAUACUAAAAUAUGAUACAACUAAAAAUAUUUUUUUAUCAUAUAUGGAAUCAAAUAAUACAAUUCUUUUCAUUAGUUGUGGUCUAUUUUGGUGAAUUUUAAUGAAAUAGCAUAUAUUUUUAAAAAAUUUAAUCAUUAUCCGGUACGAUAUUAAUAACUGAAAUAAUAUCCGAUACGAUGUUAACUGAAAAGCUAAGAUAAAGUUAAAAUUGACAUAAAAAAAGUAUAGUGAUAGCAUUGCUGCAAGUGCUGGCUCAUCUGAUGGAGGUUUCAUAAACAGAGGUAGGAUCUUGUGUGUGGAUGAUGCAAAAACAACAUAGGAGAUUAGAAAGAAAUUAGGUAUGUAUGCUAACUGUGAAGAUGAUUUAGUGAUUAAGAAACCAAUGAAGAUGGAGUUGGUGAUGAGUGAUUAAUCUGGUUGGUCAGGAAACAAAGAUGGAUGAUAUUUCAAAUGGGUGGAUUCAAAGAUUAUGGCUUGAUGGAAACUUUGAGUGAUGUUUUUUUUUCCUAAUGCUUGGGGAGCCUCGGUGGCUUGCUUUUGGUUUGGAUUUAUGUGGUUUUGGAAAUUGGUGUUUCAAUUUAAAGAAAUAUGAUGUAUGUUAGAGUUGUUGGGUUGAAGACAAUUUUAAAUGUGAUUUUUGUAAGAUUCUGCUCCAUGUGAUGAAAAGGAAAAUUAAGGGUGGAAUUUUGUGGCUAUUUAAGUGAGGUGAGGCAUUAUAGGUGUAUUGUAGGACAUUUUAAUAUUGUUUAAGCCUAGAAAGAAAGGUGAGGUGUGUGACUGGUGUAAUGGGUAUUUGUGGAUGAAAUAGUUCAUAGUUUCUAGCAAGCUCAUUGAUAUCCCAUUAAAUGGGAUGAAUUUUACUUAGUUACUGUCUAGGAAAUUAAAAGAGUAGGAUUGAUUUAUCCUUAGUUUUAUCUGAAGGGUUUGUGAGGUUUAGAGAUUUUGUCUAAGAGGUGAAGAAGAAGGGAUUUUUGGAAUAAAUUAAAAAGGAAUUGGAGAGUUUGGUUUUGAAAUUGGGUAGAGCCAGAUUGUGUCUCAUGAAAAAAUGAGCUAUCUAAAAUCACUAUUGAAAUUUUGGAUUACUCAAAUUUUUGGUGAUUUUGAUGGAAGGAUGUGUUUGCCAAUGGUAGGGACUUGACGUUGGAUGAUGUGGAAUAUUGAUACAGUAUUGUUCAAAAGCAUGUGUCAUAGGCUAGGAGCGAUAUUUUUAAAUGACUGAUUCUUUAGUUAGUGAGUUGAAAGUAUUGGGAAAUCAACAUGUACAUGCAGUACCCACACACAAAAUAGCAAGCCUAAAUCAAGAAUAAGAACAGACAAAUAUAUUUGUUUCGAUCUAACUCAAAAUAGCCUACUCUAAAACUAAUCCACUAUGAAACUAUCAAAUAAAUCUUUACAAUUGAGAGACUUUUGGAAUGAGAAAAGUCACCAAAAACUCCUUACUCAAAAUUAACCCAAAACUCAAUUACACCAUUUUAAUAACCUACUCACCUAGCUAUUCUCUUAGUGUCUAACUAUUUGGGAUUACCAAACUAAAAUCAAAACAUCUUAUUUAUAAGGGUGAAACCCCUUAUACCUUUACUAAACUCCCGAUGUGGGAUAGAAAACAAACUCAAAACUCUUAUAACUUUCGAUAUGGGAUUAUGAGAUUUAAGGCAAAUCCUAAUAAAUCCUUCAUUGACGUAAAUAUCCAAAUACUUCAAUAGUAUCUGUAAAGCUAACACGUUUACCUUUCUUUUUUUCUUUCAUCAUAGGGAUCCCAACAAUUGAGCCUCCAUCAAGCAUGUACAAGUGAUUUUUGAUCCUAUUCCCUUGUAGAAUCACACUACCAUUCUUGUACACUUUUAACAAAUCAUUACUACCAUAGUAUGUGUACCCCUAAAAAGCUAACUCAUUCAAAGCAAUUAAAUUGUAGCUAGAACUCAGUACAUACCUUACAUGACGAAGCAUCCUAACAACAUCAAUGUGAGAACUAAAUGCCUUGAAUCUGUAGCUUUUUUUUGUUAGCAACCGCAAUAUCCCCAUACUUCUCAUUCUUAUCCAACUCCAUAAAACAACUCCUAUUAUUGCAAAUAUGAACUGUAGCAGCAGAAUCUAAAACCCAACUUUUAUCACCUUUCAAAUUCUAAGUCUUAUCCAUACAAGUCAUCAAAAUGAUAUCAUCAUCAUCAGAUAUGAUGAUAGCACUAUCACUAUUUCUUUUAUCUAAUUUUUUCUCAUUAUUCACCUUUUUGAAAGCAAGCAUAUCCCUUCUGAGCUUCUUGCAGUGCACUUGGAUAUAUCUUUUUUCACCACAAUAAUAACAUUCUAUAUCAUUGAAUAUCUAUCUAUUGACUUGAAUCUUCCGUUUGAUCCAUUUAUCCUCUUUUGAGUCCUUCAUUGAUUAAAACUCUUUACAGCUAGUGUACUCCCCCCAGAUGAUGAGUUAUGUACUCCCAUAAACCUUUCGUCAUCACGUAACAAGGCAAUCACAUCAUCCAACUUUAAAGUAGACCUAUCUACCAACACAGUCUAAACUAAUGGCCUAUUAGACUUGGGCAAAGAUGACAGCAAAAUUAAAGCCUUCUCUUUAUCUUUUAAUUCAUCAAUAGAAAUCACCAGCAAUUAAGAAACCAAUCUAUUAAACUCAUUUAGAUGAUUAUGAAGACUCGUACAUUCUUUCACCUUUAGAGAAUAUAGAUCCAUCUUUAAACAUAAUCUUUUAGUCAGUGACUUCGAAGCAUAGAUACCUUUAAACUUAUCCCACAAACUCUUUGGAGUACUCUUAGUCAACACACUAUACUUUACCUCUUGGGUUAGCGCCAGUUUAAUAGUACUAAUAACUUUUUUCUGAAUUCUAUUUCAACUACUAUCAGACAUUCUUUUAGGCUUACUACUUUCUAAUACCUGAUCCAACCCUUGUUAUACUAACAGAUCUUGAAUCAUACUUUGCCAUAACAUAAAAUUACUCUUUCUAUCAAACAAUGGAAUAUCAAACUUAAGCAUAGACAUACUAGCCAUACCUUCUUCAGAUAUCUUGAAACACUAUUUCAUGAUCUCGUAAACUCAUGGACCUUAAACCUCGAACCUCAUUCUGAUGCCACUUGUUAGGGAUUAUCACAACUCUUAUACCACUUGUUGGGAAAUCAACAUGUAUACACAACACCCACACACAAAAUAACAAGCCCAAAUCAAGAAUAAGAACACACAAAUAUAUUUGUUUCGGCCCAACUUAAAAUGGCCUACUCUAAACUUAAUCCACUAUCAAACUAUCAAAUAAAUCUUUACAAUUAAGAGACUUUUGGAAUGAGAAAAGUCACCAAAAAUUCUUUACUUAAAACUUAACCCAAAACCCAAUUAUACCCUUUUAAUAGCCUACUCACCUAGCUAUUCUCUUGGUGUUUAACAUAUGAAUUUCAUUAAAAAUUUUUAAAACCUAAUUAUACGUUACUAGAGGUGCAAUUAGAUUCAAAUCCACUCUAAAUAUGAUAUAUGUAAUGCAUGUAACAAAUGGUUGCAAUAUGAUUUAGCUUAAGAUGGCAUGGGUGGAUAAGAAUAUUUUAUUCCAUGGUAGUAGAGGUCAACUUUAUGUGGAUAUGGGGAUUAUUUGGUGUUUAUCUGGUGUUUUUUUUUUCUUGUUUUGUUGUGUUAUGAUGGUAUGUUGGCUUACAUUAUGGUGAUUUCAUGAUAGGGUCAACUUUUUGUGUGAACAGGGAUUUUUUAAUUUUUUGUUUUUAUUUUUGCUUUUUGGAUUGUUUUCGCUGUUCUUUUUUUAUGGUGAGUUGACUCACAUUUUGGUUGUAUCAUGGUUCUGUAUCAUGGUUUAUACCAUCAAUAAAUGGACUCUUGACUGUCGUAAUGAUUUUGUGUCCACCCGACGAAUUUGGAAAUGAAAUAAAAAAUAAUAGAGUCGCUACCAAUAUUUUUUGGCUAGGUGCAAUUAGCCACCUAUUAAAACAUAUCAUUUUAUGAAAUCUUAAAAUUAAUUAAAAUUUAUUAAGGAGAUAAUUUUAAGGUGUGCGUAACAGUCUGGGUUCGGGAGUCGAUUACGUGUGGGGAAGGAUUAGCACCCCCACAGCGUCCGUUUAAAAAUGGUACUAUUUAACUACGUGUUAUCCUUUGAUUUUGAUAAAAAACAAUCUUAUUUUUGGUGUUUGAAAAAUAAUUUUCAUGAUUAUUUCAUUUAUUGUGAAUUAGUUUUUAUAUUCAAAUAUUAUUUGAGAAAAAUAAAUUAAAACUUUUUUAUUGAAACAAUUCUUAAAAUAUUCCAGUACGUUGGUAACAUUAGAAGAACUCUUUUUCAUUUAAAGAUUUCUUAGGCAUCACUUUUCGAAAUAUCUUAGAAUCUUAUCUUCGGAAGCUUAAAUUUUUUUUUUUCGUAAAAGAACUAUGUAAUGCAUGUAAUACAAAUGAUAAUACAUUAAUACAAACAUUUUAUUUUUGUUUAGAAAUUCUAUUAAUUGAUUUCCUUUUUAGUUAAAUUUUUGAAGAAAAAAAAGGAAAUUUUAUUUUAUUAAAGCUUUUUUAUAAAUAUUUUAAUAUACUGGUAAUAUUUUAAAAAAAUCUUAUCACCUAGAGAUUUCAUAAAGUAUUGCUACUUGGAAUACUUUUAAAAUCCCAUCACUGGAUAAAAUUUUUUUUUCUCAUUUUUAUCAUUUUAUUUUAGUCUUUUUUUAUAAAUUAGUUAAUUUAUCUAUUAUUAAUAAAAAAGAAAAAUUUUUAUUGUAUUGAAAACUUUUUAUAAAUACUUAAAUACACUGGUAGUAUUUAAAAAAAUCUUUUUACUUAGAGAUUUCGUAGGUAUCAUCACUACUCGAAGUACAUUUGAAUUUCAUCAUCAGAUAAAUUUUCUUUUUUACAUUUUAAAUUAUUAUUUUUUGUUAAUUAAUUUUUAUCAAUUAUUGUAUAUUUUUCUUUAUUCUUGUUCAUUAAAAUUUGAUAAGUUUAUGUUUAGUACUUAUUUUAAAUUAAUUAAAUUAAAACUAUUUUAUGUUUUCUACCAUUUAUUUUAUUUUAUAUGAAAAAUUUAUACAAAAAUAAAAUAAAAAAACAGAAAAAUAUUAAAUUAAAUAAUAGAAAUAUAUAAAAUUGAGCAACAAAAAUAAAAAAAAAGUUACGAUAAAAAUACCCAAAAUGCCCUAGUCAACAUCGGUCAAAGAUUCGAAAUGGUUCAGUCGGCUUGGUCAACUGGCUUGGACCUAUAGUCAACGGCAUAGUCGGCUUGGCUUAGGUAUACGGCUCGGCUCUGUUCUCGGCUCGGUUUGGUGGCUUGGCUAACACUUAAUCAAUACGAUGCCGUUUUAAUUUCACUCAUUUUGAUUUCACUAUAAAUAGCCCCCAAAACACCCCCACUCUUUCAUUUUUUUCUUUUUUCCUCAUUUUCUUUUCUUUCUUUCGCUAUCCUCUAGAAUUCUUCUUUUUUCUCCUUCUCAGUUUUCGGCAAUCUUAUUACCGUCGACCACCGUUGAGUGUGUCAAAAAAAUUUCUAAAAAAUACCUAAAAAAUUGUUUUCAACCCCCUGAACUCAAAUCCAACCUUCGGUUCACUAGAAACGACUUUGAACAAUGUAGAUCGAGGCCCAAAGUUUCGAUCAGAAUGAAAAAAAAAAUUUCUUUUGUGUUUUUGGCGUUGAGAUCCCCAUUACUAAGGGUUUUUUUUUUUUUUUGGGAUUGUGCUAUUUUUUGGUUUGGUUUUCUUGGCUUUUUAACAAAGUUUUUUUUUUUUUGAACUAGAAUUUUGUUUUCAAUGAUUUUUUUUUUGCAAAGGUUUUCUUUUUUUUUUUGUUAUGAGUUUUCAUGGCUCUAUUUAUAGAGUAAAAACAAAAUUAAAAUCCCAGAAAGUCUAUGAUUUGUGGGACUGUGACUAGUGGCUGUCAGGAUGGUUAUCGGUGGCUAUCAGACGACUACCAAAAAAGUUGCUAGAAAAGAAAAAGCAAAAGAAAAAGAAAAAAAAAAAAAUAAAAUGGGUGUCUUUAGCUACCCCUCUUUGCUUAUUUCUGAGAAUCAAGAAUAAAGCAAAGACUAAAAGCAACCAUUUUGUUCAAGCAAAGACAAAGCAUUGAACACAAAAUUUUUUCUUUUUUUUUUCUUUGAAAAUUUGAAAAGUUUCUCUGAGUAGAGGCUUAAUUUUUUUCCAAAUUUAAAAAGGUUCUUCUCAACAAAGGUUUGAUGACUUUUGAAAAUUUAAGAGGGCUUCUCUAAGCAGAAGUUCAACAACUUUAAAAAAUUUAAAGAGGCUCCUCUAAGCUUAGGCUCAAUGGCUUUUAAAAAUAUAAAUGGUUCCUCUAAAGAGAGGCUCAACAACUUUAAAAAAUUUAAAGAGGCUUCUCUAAGUAGAUGCUCAAUGACUUUUAAAAAUAUAAAUGGCUCGUCUAAGCAGGGCUUGACAACUUAAAAUUUCAUCUUGAAAAAAGCUCCUUUAAGCAAAAGCUCAACAACUUUAAAAAUUUUUCUUGAAAAAGCUCCUUUAAGUAGAGGCUCAACAACUUUAAAAUUCUCAUCUUGAAAAAGCUCAUCUAAGCAGAGACUCAACAACUUUAAAAUUCUUAUCUUGAAAAAGCUCCUCUAAACAAAGGCUCAACAACUUUAAAAUUUCAUCUUGAAAAAGCUCCUAUAAGUAGAUGCUCAAUAACAUUAAAAUUUUCAUCUUGGAAAAGCUCUUCUAAGCAAAUGCUUAACAAUUUUAAAAAUUCAUCUUGAAAAAUCUUCUCUAAGCAGAGGCUCAAAAAUUUUAAAAUUUUCAUCUUGGAAAAGCUCAUUUAAGCAGAGGUUCAACAACUUUAAAUUUAAACUAUUGAAAAAUAACUUCGAAUAUUACCGUAAAAGGGGACUUAAUCUCAGAUAUCACCACUGAAAAGAUGUUAAUGACUUCGGAUAUCACCAUUGAAGAAAAUGCAAAUGAUUUUUUAACGCUCAGAUAUCACCACUGAAAAUAUGCAAAUGAUUUUUUUUAAUACUCGAAUAUCACCAUCGAGUGAUUUUGAAAAUGUCUUGGAUUUCACCACCAAGAAAAUGCAAAUGAAAAUUUAAACUUUAAACUUAGAUAUCACCACCGAUAAUAUGCAAAUGACUUCGGAUAUCACCACUGAAGGAAACUCGAAUAUCACCAACGAGAAAAUGCAAUUCAAGCUUUAAUACUUAGAUAUCACCACCGAGAGAAUGCAAAUGCAAAUUCAAACUUUAAACUCAGAUAUCAUCACCAAGAAGAUGCAAUUCAAACUUUAAUACUUGGAUAUCACCACCGAGAUAAUGCAAAUGCAAAUUUAAACUUUAAACUCGGAUAUCACCAUCGAGAAGAUGCAAUUCAAACCUUAACACUCGGAUAUCACCACCAAAAAGAUAAAAAUGACCUUUUUUUUUUAAUACUCAGAUAUCACCACCGAGUGAUUUUGAAAAUGUCUUGGACUUCACCACUAAGAAAAUGCAAAUGAAAAUUUAAACUUUAAACUUAAAUAUCACCACCGAUAAUAUACAAAUGACUUCGAAUAUCACUAUUAAGAAAAUAUAAUUCAAGCUUUAAUACUCGGAUAUCACCACCGAGAGAAUGCAAAUCCAAAUUCAAACUUUAAACUUGGAUAUCACCAUCGAGAAGAUGCAAUUCAAACCUUAACACUCAGAUAUCACCACCGAAAGAUGCAAAUAACCCUUUUUUUUAAUACGCGGAUGUCACCACCGAGUGAUUUUGAAAAUGUCUUGGAUUUCAUCACUAAGAAAAUGCAAAUGAAAAUCUAAACUUUAAACUCGGAUAUCACCAUCGAUAAUAUGCAAAUGACUUCGGAUAUCACCACCGAAGGAAACUCGAAUAUCACCAUCGAAAAAAAUACAAUUCAAGCUUUAAUAGUCGGAUAUCACCACUGAAAGAAUGCAAAUGUAAAUUCAAACUUUAAACUCGGAUAUCACCAUCAAGAAGAUGCAAUUCAAACUUUAAUACUUAAAUAUCACCACCAAGAGAAUACAAAUACAAAUUCAAACUUUAAACUUGGAUAUCACCACCGAGAAGAUGCAAUUCAAACCUUAACACUCGGAUAUCACCACCAAAAAGAUGUAAAUGACCUUUUUUUUUAAUACUCGGAUAUCACCAUCGAGUGAUUUUGAAAAUGUCUUGGAUUUCACCAUCAAGAAAAUGUCAAUGAAAAUUAAACUUUAAACUCGGAUAUCACCACUGAUAAUAUGCAAAUGACUUUAAAUAUCACCACCGAAGGAAACUCGAAUAUCAUCAUAAAAAAAAUGCAAUUCAAGCUUUAAUACUCGGAUAUCACCAUUGAGAGAAUGCAAAUACAAAUUCAAAUUUAAACUUGGAUAUCACUAUCGAGAAGAUGCAAUUCAAGCCUUAACACUCGGAUAUCGCUAUUGAAAAUAUGCAAAUAACUUUUUCUUUUAAUACUAAGAUAUCACCACCGAGUGAUUUUGAAAAUGGCUUGGAUAUCAUCAUCAAGAAAAUGAAAUUCAUAUUUUAAUACUUGGAUAUCACCACCGAGAACUUUAAAAAUAAUUUAUCAUAAUAUUUUUCUUAACUGAUGUCAAUUUCACUGGGUUAACAACCUUUUUGCCAGCUAGAUUGAGCUUAAAGCUUUUAUCUUGUGCCAUCUUAUCUUGAUCUUUUGAAUAUAUGUUGCCUAAUUUUUUUCUUCUUUAAUGCUUCCAAAAUUAGUGAAUACCAUUAUGUUGCAAAUGUCUUCUUUUAAAAUGAGGAUGCAAAUAUAAAUGUCUUUUCCUAAAAUAAUUCACAUGAAAUACAAAUGUCUUUUCUUAAAAUACCAAUACGCACAUGCUUUAUCAAUGAAAGACAAGCUAAUGAUGUAAAUGCAAUGUCAAAAGGUUCAAAUGCUAAAAAAAUAUUUUUUUUUAAAAGAUCAAGAUAUGCUACUGCCCAAAAUCUUCUUUUAUUCAAAGUUCUCUUUCAUUCAAUCCCAAAUCUUCCAUCUCAAUUCCAAAUUCUUUCUUUGCUACUCAUUUUCAUCAAUUUUGCUUUGUUUCUUCACAAUUUGGAUUUCUUGACGUUUCUUUCCAUUUUCAUCUUCAAAUCGAACAUGCAUAUGACCAAUUCAAACUUGAUGAAAGGGAAUUGAAGAAAAUGAGCCCUCAAACCAUGGUAAAAACUCAACUGAUUAAACAUACUUUUGUGUUCCUAGAUUGCCCCUUAUUUUACUCAAUUUUUUUAAAAUUUUAUUUUCCUCUCUAAAAAUAUUUUAUUUGAAUGACAAAAUAAAUAAAAAAUUACCUUAGUCAACCUCUAUGAAACAAUGUGACUCUUCAAUCUUUAAAAAAAAUGGUGAUCAUUGUUAUUCACAUGGUAAUUCUAUCUUUUCAAAAGGCUGGGAUGAUUAAUUGUCAAACUAAGAUCUGCAUGAGAAAAUUGAAUUUUUAUCUAGGCUAAACAAUAAAUUUUUUGGGAAGGUUCUUUUAUGGUUAAAUCAGAUUUGACACUAUUUUUAGUAUCACAAUGUGGUAUUCUAAUAGAUGUCAAGACUAGCUAUGCUAAAUUCAAGAUCAUAUUGGGAAAGGCGAAGAUUUUCUCAUCUCAAUCAUUGGUUGCAAUGAGUUUUCAUGUUACAAUCUCAUUCUUACUUUAGAUUGCCUUUUUUUUUUUGUUUGAGGUUUCACCCUAGAGCUUUAUUCUUUCAUUUUUCUUUUUUUUUGAGGGUUUCAUCGUGCACUCAAGUACUUGUAUGAAAGAGAAAAUUUUGCAAAAAAAAUAGACAAACGUGAAAUUGGUCAUGAGGAUUCUACAAGGAACAAAUUCUUCAGUUCAAGUGUCUAUGUUUGAUCAAAAUGGACUUUUCAAGGUAUGUAACAUAAGCUAAGGUUUGAGGUUCUGAAAGAAUGGAUAAAUAGGCCCAAAACAUGUGUUUGAAGGUGAUCGAACCAAGGAUCAUUUCAUACCAUGUGAAGGACUUUCUUUUGGACAUUCAUUUUCUAUUCCUUCAGUCGUAACAUCCAAUCAUUUCUUUUUUCCUUUCUCUUUCUUUUUUUUUUUUUGCUUUCACUUUUAGUUUUUCUUGCAUAUUUCAACAUUUGUAGAAAUAUGUUCUAACACUCAAUUUGUCUGACAUUUGCUUCUACAAUUUAAGGCAUUCUUUCUUUGUUGUCAAAACAUGACUUUAUCAAAUAAAUCUUUCUUUGUGUUAAUUGAUCCUUGAUUAGGGUUCAUUUAAAAAAAAUUCACUAGGCUCAAAAGGGUAGCAAAUGGAUAAUUUAUUAUUUGUGAAAGGAUGAAAAAAAAGAUGGCUAUUCGUCAUCUCAAGCCUGGUCACUUAUGCUGAAGAGUGAUUCCUUGAAAAAUCAAAAUUUUAUUUUUAUCACCUUUUUUUAAUUAUUUUUAUCAUUUUUUUGGAUCAUUUGAAUAUCUAAAAUGCAUGAUGUAACCAUCAAUAUUUUUUUUUUAUUAUUUUUUUUUUCUUUUUGUUUUUAUAACUCAUAUGACAACCAAUCUUUGUCUUAUUUUGGUAAGUUUAUGUGACGAUGAAAAUCAUGUUGAAGGGUUUAUUUAGGUCUCAGUUGUGCACAUCAUCACCAAAUUGGAUAGUGGUAUGAACUUGAUAAUUUUGGGGCAUUUAAAAAUCAUUCUUUUUUAUCAACAUGCCCUUAGAUAAAAAGGUGCAUUUGUAUAUUUAUGGUUAUCUGAAUGAUUUUUUAUUUAAAGCAUAGUCUUGACACCUAUCAAUUCACCAACAUCUAGAUAAAAAAUGGUAUCAUAUUUGUCAAAUUUUUAAGAAAUUCAUAAGGCUUUUCCAAAUUGAUCAUUUCAGUAUUUGUUGCCUUGACAAGAGGUAUCACAAAGUUCAAACUUGUAUCUUUUGGAGCAUUAAGGUUCUUUAAGUGAUUUUGGGACAUGAAAAAGACACGAGAAUAUUUUAUUUAAGUAGAUUCAUAAUAAUGACCACUAAUUUUUUUGAGACUUUUAUUAUGAAGAGAAAAGAGUUUUUUUUAAAACUUGAGCUAAAAGAAAAAAAAAAAAAUUUUGAAUUAGCAUUCAGAUUCAACUUUCAUACAAGUUCUAAAAUUGAUAUGCUUGUCUAAUACAGAAGUGAAAAGAAAAUAAAAGUGACACAUUUUUUGAAUCAAUGUACCUUUUUGCAACACUCAACGAACCAUUAUAUUUUCAGAAAACCCACAAAACCAUUCUCCAAUUCUUUAUCUAUCCAUUGCAUCCAAAGUAUUCAUAUCAAUACUUUAACACCCCCGGUUCACCUCUUUUCCAAUAUAUUAAGGACAGAAUGAUCACCGUUAGUUUCAAAUUUUAUUUUUUUUAGCUUUAAUGAGAUUUCUAACAUUAUAUUUUAGUACGGGAUAGUUUUCUGUCGGUGGGCCUGAUUUUCACUAUGGUAAUCAGAUUUUGCAUUAGGAUCAUACCAUUUUAGGUAAGGGGUUAAAGGGAUUCUAGACACACAGGCUCCAAAAGCUGAUUUUGGAUCAGUUGGGGUAACAAUUCUGUGUAAGAUAUGGGAAUAUGGUUGAAAGUGAUUCUUUCUUUAGUAUUUCUUGGGGCUCUCAAACCAUUACUUGGAUUGGAUAUUCGUUAUGAUUUGGUUGGUGCAUUGAGAUAGUUAUAUGAAUAGCUGAGUGUUUGAAAAGAUGGCUGGCAAUAGGGUGGAUAAGUUGAUUGUUGUAGUGGUUGAUAUAGUUGAAAAUGAUAAGGGAUGGAUGUAACAUUAUUUAUGAAAGGUAAUGGGUUUGGUACACUGGUGUAGGGUAUAGGGUGAAACUUUCGAAUUGUUGCCCCACAUAGUUCGUUGCUUGGGUUUCAUUUUUUUUAAGGCUUUGCCUUUUUUUGCUUCACUUGGCUAUCCUGCAAUGAGCUUGCCAUUCUUUAUGGUAUUUUUAAUAAUUUCAUAAGAUAUCACCAUGUCUAUAAAGUUUUUGAUUGUAUUGUCUAUCAGUCUCUCAUAGUAUAGUGCUUUCAGAGUAUUCACAAAUAAGACAGUUAUCUUUUUCCCAGUGAGGAGAGAUUGUACUUGUGUAAUCAUAUCUCUUCAUCUCUGUGCAUACUCUUUGAAGCUUUCUGUUGUUUUCUUUUCUAUGUUCUAUAGAGACAAACGAUUUGGAGCUAGAUCCAUAACCUGUCGAUAUUGUGUAAGGAAUGUUCUUAUGAAUUCUUGUAAAAAAUGAAUACGAGUUCUAUCUGGUUGAAUAUACCAUAUGACUACAGAUCUCGUAAGGUUAUCCUGAAAUACAUGCAUCAACAGCUUCUCGUCAUAAGCAUGUGCCGUCAUCUUGCGACAAUACAAGGUGACAUGAGUCAUUGGGUAUUUUGUGCCAUCAUAUUUUUCAAAUUUAGGGACUUUAAAUUUUGAUGGAAUAACAACAUCUGGGACCAAACAAAGGUUGGCUGCAUCCCUGGAGCCAUAAAAAUUUAUUCCCUUUAUGACCUUAAGCUUUUUUUCCAAUAACUUCAUUUUCUCUUAGGCACUGGUAUCUUUCACUUUUUCAGUUGUCUUUAUCCCUAUCUUUUCUCUCUCUUUAGGAUCAUCCAAAUCAGAAAAUCAAGAUUAGCUUGGGUGGUUUUUUCAUCAUAACAGGAUUGAUAAAAUUUUGAAAUUGUCUUCGAAUAGGUGUGAAUUUCAUUCUUGGAUAAAGAUUGAAAUAUCUUCAAAGAGUAAAAAUUUGCACUUUGGUUCCUUGAUAUGGUAGGGUUGGUUGUGGCUCAAACCCUGAAGGGUAAAUAGGAUCCACCAUGUCUGGUUAUUACUCUUGAAAGCUAAAAUUUCCUUCCACCACUUUUCCUUUAUCAAGCUUCUUGAGCAUAUCUAUUAUCUUAUUAAUAUCCUCUUUUAGUUCUUUUUGAGCCUUCUCUAUUCUCUCAAAUUGACUAGGUUGUUCUUGUUCCAUGAUUCUUGUUUGAGCUCUGGUGUUGGCAGAUAGGUUAAGUCAAAAUUUAUGGUGGGUCAGCUGUUCUUGAACCUUUAUUACCAUAAAUUUUUUUUUUUUAAAAAUACCAUGUAUUGAAAAUUUUAUUUUUGAUUUUUGAUUUUUUUUUAAAAAAUGGUGCAUAUGAUGCAUGAAUGCAAAUUGGAGAUAUUUGCUUUUGGAUAAAUUUCAACACUAAAAAUUCUCAUUAAUUUCAUACAAUUUUCGUUACAUGAGAUUUGAGCAAUCUAUAGUUAUAUGAGAUCUAUGAAGACUUCUUAGAAGAAAGAUGUCCUAGAGCAAAUACCUUAAUACAAAACUGUAUGAUAUGAUUAAUGUAAAGAAAAAAGAAAAGAAAAAUAAAAUUGAAUUAGUGUGAGGAUGUUGUUUGAGAUUAAAAACAUUUUUUUUUUUUUGUAUUACACAUAACUUUUAUUCCCAUACGUUUUGGACUUAGGUAUUUUCUACAAUAGGGUGGGCAAAGCUCUACCUAAGGUUGGCUUCUUACGACUUAUUACAUGCUUGGUUUGGGCCGUCAUGCGUCUAAAAGUUCUCAAAUUAUUCUUUACUAUUGUCCACGCUGGACUAGUAAGGCACCCCAAUCCUCCCCCAUUAUAGGCUACGAACGAAAAUGGUUCAAUUUGAGUGAAAGUAUUUCGCUUGUCAUUACGAAAGUUAUCACCUCACGAGAGUAUAGGUACUUUACUUCUUCUUAUAAAGGACGAAACCCAGGUAUAGAACUCAUGCAUGAGAUGCAUCAUGUUAUUGUGUGUGCAAAUAUAUCCUAAUUUAUUAAGAGUAAUAUAUACAGAAAAAUAAAGCAUAAGAGACAUUGUAAAAGAAAUGUGUGUGAAUUUUUUCUUUUUCUUUUUUGUUUAUUAACUUUUUUGUUGACAGUGAAAAAUAAAAAUCUAAGAAAUCGAUUAGGACUAUUUAAAUCGAAAUUUGAGAAUAAUACGUAGUUAGUUUUGGCUUGACUCUCGAAAACAAAUGGCAUUCCUAGUGGAGUCGUCAAGCUGUCGUAACGAUUUUGUGUCCGCUCGAUGAAUUUGAAAAUGAAAUAAAAAAUAAUGUAGUUGCCACCAAUCUUUUUUGGCUAUGUGCAAUUGGCCACCUAUUAAAAUAUAUCCUUUUAAUGAAAUCUUAAAAUUAAUUACAAUUUAUUAAGAAGAUAAUUUUAGGGUUUGCGCAACGGUCUAGGUUCAAGAGUCGGUUACGUGUGAAAAAAUAUUAACACCCCUACAGUGCCUGUUUAAAAAUGGUACCACUUAGUUACGUGUUAUUCUUUGAUUUUAAUAAAAAAUAAUCUUAUUUUCGGUGUUUGAAAAAUAAUUUUCUUGAUUUUUUCAUUUAUUGAGAAUUCGUUUUUAUAUUUAUAUAUUAUUCGAGAAAAAUAAAUUAAAACUUUUUUAUUGAAAUAAUUCUUAAAAUGUUUUAGUACGUUGGUAACAUUAGAAGAACUCUUUCUCACAUAGAGAUUUCUUAGGCAUCACUUUUCCGAAUACCUUAGAAUCUUAUCUUUGGAGGCUCAAAUUUAUUUUUCAUAAAAAAACUAUGCAAUGCAUAUAAUACAAAUGAUAAUACGUUAAUACAAACAUUUUAUUUUUGUUUAAAAAUUUUUUUAAUUGAUUUCAUUUUUAGUUAAAUUUUUGAAGAAAAAAAAAGGAAUUUUUAUUUUAUUGAAGCUUUUUUAUAAGUAUUUCAAUACAAAGGCUGAGCAUAUUAUAGCAACCGAAUCAGGUAAAGAAAUGUUUUAGAUGAAAUAUUUUCUUCUUGAAUUGGGGUUGAAUUAGAAAUAGUAUGUGGUACUUUAUGAUAGAUAGAGUGUUUUAGAUUUGAGUAAGAAUGCCAUGUACCAUGCUAAAAUAAAGCACAUUGAUGUUAGAUAUCACUGGUUAUGUUCAAUGAUUAAGGAAUAGCAGAUGUUGUUGAAAAAAGUCUAUACUGAUAAGAAUGUAAUGGAUAUGUUGACUAAGAUACUUUUCAAGGAGAAGUUUGAGCUUUGCACUAACUUGGCCAAAAUGAGUUCCUUGGCUAAAGUAAAUUCUAAAUGAAACUACUAUAGUGAUGAAUCUCCUCCUAAUGGGGUUGAAAGGGGAGAUUGUUAAGAAAAUGGGGUUCAGCCCUAUGUAAUUUAGGUUUGGACUAAUCAAAGGCCAUAAGCCUUAGUCUUUCUUUUUACACAGAGCCCUAGCUAUUUAAUAAAAUGAGGUGAUGCUGUUUUAAGAUGGUAUCACAAAACCAAGAAGAGAAAGAAAAAGAGCUAGAAAAAAUAGAAAGAAAAAAGAGAAGGGAAAGUUGGUUAAACAGAAGUCGAUUCGUGGUUCGAUUGAGCUAAAACUUUGUUAGUAGGUUUAUGAUUCAGAGUUCUACAUUAUGAAUGAUGAAGAUCAGGUUUGAACCUUUCUAGGAACAAAUCCAGAGUGUAUUUAUUGAGUCACCUAUUUGGUGAGAUUUCUCCAAUGGUCUCUUUAGUUAUUGAUUAACUCUAGUUUUAGUAAGAAAAUAACUUUGUAUAUCCAUUAUUUGAUAGUGGGGAUUUUUUUUGUGGUCAAUGAUUUUUCCUUCUACACUGAAAGGUUUUUCAUGUAAAUCUUAGUGUGCUUUAUUUUUCUUAUAUUUUUUAUUAUUGAUUAUUAUCUAUUGCUGUGGGUUUAUUGCGAUAUAUUGCUUCUGUAUUAUUGUGAUUAUUGCUUCAGGCCUAACACUAGAGUAGCAAUUACAAAGGCAUUUAGUUACUCUCACUUAGCAGUUGAUAGGGUAAUCAACUACUCAGUCAGUUGCUCCCUCCUUCAUUCAAAUGUUUUUUCUAUAUUUUCAAACAUUAUUUUUUAAUAUACAUACACACUAAAUGAUUGUAAAAGAAUAUUUCACUUUAAUAAUCUUUUGAAAAAUGUAUCUUUAGUAAUACAUACAACACCAUGUAAGCCAAUUUUUAGUGAUAGUUCGCUCAUGUGAUUCAUAUGAAAUGGAAAAAACACCUUAUUGAUCACCUUGGUCUAAGAUGAAUUCUGAUGAUGCUUCAUUUUGGUAAAUCUUGGAUGGAUAAGUGGUGUUGUAUGUUUCCAUAUAUGGGUGAAGUUGUUACUAUUCUUCCUUUAAAUCUUGACUUGUCUUUUGGUAAAUUCCAAGCAAAAAUUAGGUCUUUUUAAUAAGUAAAGCUAUUUAAUGCUUUCAUAGAGAUUGAAAUAGAUGUCUGAUCAAUUUGCUUUCUUCUCAUUAAGUUGUACAUUAACCUUAGCUGUAGGCAAUCCUCUUAAUUUGAUUAUCUUCAGCUUUUUACAUUUUUUUUGGUCUAGAAGCAUGACAUGUAUUUAAGAGAUUUUUCAAGACAUGUGAUGACUUUAUUAAAAUGAAAAUGAUAUAUGAUUUCAUUAUAUGGAUGUACUCUAUAUUUUCAGAUGAGGUGGCUAUUAAAAAAAUGAAGGGUUAUACCCAUGGGCUAAACUUGACAUAUUAAUUACCAGUUCUAACUCUUAUUUGGUCAAGAAUGAAAGAGGGUUGAUCCUAAUUUAUAUAAGGUCUACUAGAUAGUUUGUAUGACUUUUUGGGUCUACUUCAUUAAAAAAGUUUGAUGAUGAUCUAAUCAUCCUUUUCAUCAUUGGAACCAGCUUAGAGAAAUCUAUAUAACCCUAUAUAAAAGGUAUCUUUUAAGGGAUUUGGGUAUAACAUGUGGGUUUUUUUCUUUCUUUAAUGUUGCUCUUUCUCAUUUUUUUCAUUCUUUUAUCACUCUUCUAUGUUUGAUCCAUAGAAAGAUAAAAAAGUUUCUUUUGACACGUGUUUUUUUUUUCUAUUUUUGUAUUUGACAAGUGUAGUUCCUUAUAUAUAGUUUUGUCUACAUGCUUAUGCUUGUAUAACACCUGUUAAAGAAAGGACAUAAAAGAGAUUUUUUUAAAUGUUAAGGUUAUUUGGUUGGAAAAUAUAAGAAGAAAGGUCUACAAACAUAGGGAUAAAGUUGAAAGGGAAUAGGUAAAGAAAAAAUUACAUAUUAAAAAAGAAAUAUGAAGGAUGAAAAGAGUUGGUGUCCUACUUAUUUCCCAUUUUUUCUUUCUAUUGGGAUUUUUCUUUGUUGUUUUUCUACCUUUUAGUUUAUAGAUAUUUCCUUUUCUAUUUUGAUAUUUCAUUUAUUAUCUGAAAAAAUUUGUUUACUAAUAUAAAAUUUUGGUGAAUUUAAAUUUUGAUAAUUUUUUUGGUAUUUUUUACAAGUUCUAAAUUGGAGUUAAGAAUACAUAAUUUUAGGUAUGUUUUAUAUUAUGGCUUUACAAUUGAUAUUUUUGCUUGACCUACAUGCUAUGUGUUCAUUAGUUUUUUUUUAAUUUUCUUUUAUUGCAAAAAAAAGAGAGAAAAAUAAACAGUAAUGAAAAGAAAAGUGCAUAAAAAGAGAGGAGUGAAGUUUGAAUAAAAAAAAAAUAGCAAAUGAGAAAAUAAGAGAAAAGGCGAAAAAGAGAUGGAGCAAAAAGAAUAGCGGAAAGGAAACCUUAUUUGGCCUUCAUGCCAUAUCUUUAGCAUGGAUUUAAGAGGUAUGUUUUGCUAAUUUUCUAAUUUUUGUUUACUAAAACAAGAAUUGAAAUAUUUGUCUUUUUUUUUCUUUAAUGAACAUUAAAUUUCAUUUACAAUGAAACAAAAAAAAAAGGAAUUUUUAUUGCGUUUGGUUUUUGUUUUUAGAUGUGAACGUGGUGAAUUCUUUGAGUGAAUUUGAAAGGUAGCUUUAAAAGCUUAGUCAUUUAAAAUGAAAAAAAAAAUUGAGUUUAGUUUUUGUAUUUUAGAUGUGAAUAUAAUGAAAUUUUUAAUUGAAUAUGAAAGGUAACUUUAAAAGCUUAGUUCCAUGGGUGAGCAUCUAUAAUUGGCAAAGGUUUUAUCUAAUGAUUGACAAUGGUGGUUUUUGGACUAAAUAAUCCCUUUAUUUUUUAAAAAUAAUUAUUCUUCAAUUUUCUAACUACUGUGAAAGAUUUUAAAAAGUGAUGAGAAGACACAUAAUAAAAUGUAAGUUUUUUAAAUACUUUUUUGGUACCAACAAUAUACAACUUGCAUUUAAGGUUUGCUUAAUUUGUUCUUUUAUCAUUGGUUGUGAUAUUAGUGUUUGUUACGACCACUUUGUAGACUUAUGAAAAGCUUGGUCAUGAGCUAUUUUACUUAUCCAUUUUUUUAAAAAGUUUUAACCCUUUAAAACUUUUUCUAAUAGUUUGUAGUAAGAAUUUUUAAGAUAUGUUAAAAAAGAUUAACAACCUGACGAUUUAAGAAGGAAUUUGAGUUGUUAAAGUUUCAAAAAGCCAAAAUGUUUAAGGAAAAAAAAAAGAAUUCUACCUAUUGCAUUGGAUCUCAGGAGUUGUGUUAUUAAUCUAAUUGAUAAAAAUGCUGUCACCAGAUUGGUAGAAUGUUCAAAACCAGCAAUUCAAUAUCUAAAUAUCAUUUAGUGUAUAUUAAUUCCACUAGAUUGGUAGAAUGUUCAAAACCAGCAAUUCAUUAUCUAAAUAUCAUUUAGUGUAUAUUAAUUCUAAUAAAUUUAGCCAUAGUUUAAUGAGAUAGCUUUUUCAAAGGAUUUAGUUUAUGCUUGAAAGAAACAAAAAAAGGAAUUACAUAGUUUAUUUCUUAAAUUUGAUUAUCAAAGUGAAGAGUUUAGAACAUGUGCCCUAUUUUUAUAAAUUUUAGGUAUUAGCAAAAUAUUACCAACAACAUUAGCUGCUGCUAUGAAUGAUUUUUAGAAUCUACGAGUAUAAGAUAGAUAGGGAUAUGUAAUUUUGCUAUCAUGAUUUUAAAUUAUUAUUUUUUAUUAUUGCUAGAGAUUUGUUUCAUGGUAUUAUAUCCUUAUAGUAUUAUCUUAGUGCUUAUGUAAUCUUUAAGUAAAAAAGGUAAGGUACAUUUGAUAUCAUUCUUGAGUUUUAUUGAUAUGAAAAAGUCUUAUCAUAUUUUAAUUUAUUUUGAUUUAUGAAUCUUAUGCAAAUUAGUUAGUUUGGUGGGUUAUAGCAGAGGAGGUGCAUGCCUUGUUUAUGCAUUGGAGGAUUUCUUAGAAAAUCUCCAAAGCAUUUUUUCUUUGUGCUAUAGUGGUGCCUAAUUGUUAGAAACAUUUCCACGUGUUUGCUAAAGAUCUUUUUUUAUCAUGCUUGGCUAGUAAUAAUUGUUCAUCAAGUUAUUACACCAUUAAUAACUAGAACCAAAUCCAAUUCAUUUCCACGUUAGGUUUUUAAUUUAUGUUUGGUUUUAUAAUCAAUUUUUAUAUAAUUGUUUUCUAAGAAUUUUUUAGUAUCUAUGAAUUUGGGAUCAAUUCAUAAUUUUGUAUAUUUAUAAUUUAUGAGUCAAAGUUAAUAAAUAUGUUUGUGUGGUUAAUUAUUAGGUUUUUAAUAAAGUUUCAAUUUUGAUUUGAUUGUUAUAAACUUUAAUAAAUGGUAGUAAAUAUUAUUUGAAAGAUACAAGCUUGGAUUGUAAUAUGAAUUGUUUGUGCUGAGCUCCGACUUGAGAGCAGUCUUGUAAAUACAUAAGAAAAAAACGAUUAGAGGCAAAGGUAUGGGGUGUUCCUUGCAUUUACACUCUAAUGCGUAAGUCAUUAAGGAUCAAGUAAAAAAGGAGAUGAAAAAGUCGGAAGGAGAGAAAGGUAUAAGUUUUUUUUUUAACCUAGCUUCAUAGUAAUUGAGUAUUUGUAUUUAUAGGCAAGGUGAGAGGGACAAAAAAGGGACAAUUAGGACAGAGUCGAGUUUAGGUGGCAGUAGAGAUGUCAGAUCGACUUGACAUGUUAGGUCAACACAAAUGAUUAAGAUACCUUUAGUUGUCUACUAGAGACUAAGAGAGGAGAAAAUACACUAUGCCUUUUUUACCAUUAUAUGCCCCUAACACUCUAUCCCCCCAUCAAGCGGUUUAAGUAUCAUAUCACUAAAAUUUGUUACUGACAUCUUUGGUGCGGGGCAAGUGGUUGCAUAUUUUAUUGAAGGCUGACGUUUAGAGGGAGGUCGGUUCUAAAUGACGACUAGCUUUGAGUCAUGGUGUGACCUGGUGGUUAUUUGAUUUCAUGUGUGUAUUUUAGGAUAGGUGCAUAAUCGAUUUAAAGGUUAUCGAAGUGACAAUUGUCUAGGGUGAUUUAAGAAUAUGGUCGGUGUUCACAUGGCCAUGGUGAGAGUUGUGUUUUUUUUUUAAAAAAAAUUAGGCUCGAACCUUUAUUUUAAACCUUGGAAGUGAAUCAGGCUCUUGACUUACCUUUGAUAGUCUUUAUAGUUUGCUUUGCCCUUUAGCUCACUCAUCAUGUCUUUGGGGAUCACACUAAGCUUAAUAAAGAAUUAGAAGCUGUUCUUCCUAUGUUUUGAAAAAUAAAAAGCCAAUAAAGAUGGUGAGUUCAAGGUUGAGGCUUGGAAAAUAAGAAGUACGCCUGGUUCUUUUGUGGAUGCAUCGGUGGCCCUAUAAAAUUUUAGAUUUUACAUGUAGGGAGAGUUUGUUAUCGACGCUCACAGGUUGACCUCUUCGAAAGUAAUAAACAAUACAAAGUAUUAUGGUAGGUUUGAGGUAACCUCAUCGAAUUUUAUUUUGAGUUGAUGUUUCAUCUAACUAUUAGCUUGGUUUUAUAAAUAUGGCUGAAGCUGGAAAAGAUUUCAACGUCACCCUAUACCAACUUUCCUUGAAACUUAAGAGGAGAAAAAAAUCUAGCUAGAGGCCCUGUUGAGUGGGAGAGAUAAAGUGGUUAGCAUGACUAUACCCUAUGUUCCUUCAGGUCAGAAGUUAAAGGCUUGAGCAAGUCAAAACCUAUCCUCCGCAUUAGCACCAAUGCCACCCCUCAGCCAAAAAUCCAUAGGUAGAUGUGUUAUUUACUUCUUUCAAGAACUUCGAGGCUAAGAUGCUGAGACCUGGCUCGAAGAGGAUAACUGUGGGGUUAGAGUUUGCUUUAACAGAUAAGCUCAUCUCCAAUCCCAAUAUUGCUAGAAGGUUCUGCAAAGUCAUAGUUCUUCCUCUUGAUAAAUACCUCAUUACCUCAGCUUGGUUUUUUUCUACUAUUUUUGUAUUUAUUUUUUUAAGUUUAAGGUCUUUCCUUACAGUCCAAAAAAAGUUUCCACCUCAACCUAUAGAGAACAGCAGUCGAACCUUCCAUUAUACUUAUCUUAUAAUAGGUUAUAUGCUGAAGGUUAGAGAGAUAUCACUACCGUUGUUUAAGAGCAUAAAAAGAGCUUAAAAAUACUAAGCAACAUCAGAUCGAGCUUUACUUCGUCCCACAAGAAAAAGGUAGAGUUGAGAAGGAAAAUAAAUAACCUGGCAACAAAGCUAGAGGCCAUCUUAGUGGACAAAGCUUCAGUAGAAUUGAUGAAAAAUAGGCUGAGUUGAAACUAAAUGAUACUCAUACUAAAAUUACAAGGAUGAAGUUUGUGCUAGAGGCUCAAAACAAAAAAGAAGAGGAGCUACAAGUAAAGGCUAUGAAGGAGUACAAAGUCUCCAAUGAAUGUCUCUGAGUAAUGGUAGAGUUCUCUAAAAAGAAUGUUUUUAGUGCCUUCCAACUAGCCAAGGAAAAGGUACAAUUUAAAUUCUCCUAUUUCAACCUCAACCUAUCUAAUAUUGAUAUCAACAAUAUCAUAUUAAAGUCUAUUUCAAAUUAGCCCAAUGAGUAUGAGGAAGAAUAUAAGAAAUAGAUGAAGAUCAGGCCUUGAAAAAAGAGCUUGAGGCCAUCAUAGGGAUAAAAGAGGAAAAGAUGAAUGUUAUUGAAGCUGAGGUCAUUUCUCCCAUUACCAUUAUUGAGAGCACUUCUUAAACUGCUGUUGAUAAGACUCCCACUACUGUUAUUGAUGAAUGAAUUUGAUGUAUUUUUAUUUUUGUUUUUGUAAACUUUUUGACUUUGAAGUCAAGUUUUUUUGAAGACUUCCCAUACUUCAACUAAUGUACUUAGUUAAGUUGGAAUAAAAAAGAAAAUUUUUUAAGUUUCAGCUCAUUUUACUGUUGUUUCUUUUUUAUUUGCAUUAGUUCGAGAAUGGUUUACCGAUCCAUAGGCAAAUAAUUAGAUUGUGAACUUGUAUAGUUAUUUUAGGUCAGAUUAAUGUAACUACAAGUUCUAAGCUGGAUUUUUUCAAAUGACUUCAGAUCACUUAUAGACAAACUUACUAAAGAUAAUUCCAUGUGUGAGUUCACUUAAAACUGAUAUAAUGAUAAUAGAUCUUUAAUUACAUUUUAUAUCCUCCAGACAAAAUAACUCCAGUACGAGCUCGUUUUGCUUUAUUCAUUGACGAGGUUUAGGUUGGCCCUAAGUAUCUUUUCAUUUUUCUCUUUUGAUGCCAAUUCAACUCUUAAACUUGAUAAGCCAAUCUCAACUGGCACUAUGGCUUCUGUUCUAAAAGUCAAAUGAAAAGGGGUUUCACCAGUAAAGACCUUCAUAGUUAUCAUAGGGCCCAUAGAACUCUUAGUAGCUUAUUGGUCUAUUCCCCUUUUGCUAUGUCAAGUCUCGUUUUGUUUUGAUCUACUGGUAAUCAAGUUGAUUUAUAUUUCACAUACUUGGGGUGGCAGUGCCAUUUACAAAAUAGUAUAAGUGUAAGCUCGAUUUAUACUGAGCUACUAAUAAUAAACCUUUAGGUUGUCUACAUUCCCCGUUCUCAGGACAACAUCGCCAUUAAGGUUUUGUAAUUUUUAGGUUGCAUCAUGGAUGACUUCCUUAACAACAUAUGGUUUUUCCUAUGUUGGGGCUAACUUGCCACCUCGAUCAUCUACCCUUGAGGCUUCUAUUUUUUUAAGUACCAGGUCACCCUUUUUGAUGUGUUUACGUUAAACCCUUUUAUUAUAAUAAUUGGCUACCUUUUAUUGGUAGGUUACAAUUCGGGUCAAGGCUAUGUUCUUUUAUUCUUUAACGAGGUUUAAGUUGGCCCUAAGUGUCUUUUCAUUUUUCUCUUUUGAUGGUAAUUCAACUCUUAAACUUGAUAAGCUAAUUUUAACUUGCACUACAACUUCUGUUCCAAAAGUUAAAUGAAAAGAGGUUUCACUAAUAAAGACCUUCAUAGUUAUCCUUAGGGCCUAUAGAACUCUUAGUAGCUUAUUGGUUUAUUCCAUUUUUGCUAUGUUGAGUCUCUUUUUUAAAGCUUUUAGUAUUAUCUUAUUUGUAGCUUCAACCUACCUGUUAGAUUAGAGGUUGGCAACCAAUGUGAAUCUGAAAUCGAUGUGAAGAUUUGAGCAUCAUUCUCUGAACCUUGGAUUAUUAAAUUGUUUGCCAUUGUUUGUUAUUAUGGACUGAGGUAGCUCGAAUCUGUAAACUAUGUUUUACCACACAAACUUCUCAACUUACGUUUUCAUGGUAGUGGCCAGGGCUUUAGCUUCUAACUAUUUUAUGAAGUAAUCUAUUACUACUAAGAUAAAUCUUUUCUGACCUAUGGUCGAGGUGAAUGAUCUGAGGAUGUUUAUCCUUCAUUGCAUGAAAGGCUAUGGGCUAAUGAUAGAAGUGAGCUUAGUUGAUGAGAGAUGUUGCACUUAGGUAAACCUUUGACAUUUAUCACAUUUUUUCACCAAUUCAAUUGCAUCCCUUCUAAUAGUGGACCAAUAGUAGCCCUGCCUCUGCAUUUUAUAGGCCAAAGGCUAAUAUCCAAGGUAAUUUUCAUAUAUUCUUUCGUGUAUUUCUCAUAGGACAUACUUUGCCUUCUUUUUAUCAACACACUUCAAAGAAGGUAGAUUGAAAGAUUUUCUGUACAACUUUUCUUUGAUCAUCAUGUAUCGGGGUGCCUUAGCCUAGACUUUCUCAUUGGGUAACAUUUUUAUGGUUAGGUAUGUCUUGAUUGGUGUCAUUCAAGUUUAUUUCUCUGUGAUCUAUCUAACUAGCUUGUCUUUGAUGCUUUUAUGCAUUAGUUCCUCUAUUAAAACUUGGUUCGGGCUUCCCAUUGUUGCUCUUGAAGCUAACUUAGAUAGUGAAUUUGCUAAUGAGUUUUUUAACCUUGGUAUCUUUUUCACCUCAGCUUUUUUAAAACCAGCUAUUAAAACCAGUGUUUUGUUAAUGUACUUUUAAAUUUCAUCUUUUUGAGCUUCGAAUUCUUUAUUUACCUGACCAACCACCAGUUGGGAGUCACUAUAAAUGAUUAUGUGUUGAGCAUUCAGCUCGGUUGCCAAGUUUAGACUGGUUAUCAGGGCCUGAUAUUUCACUUCAUUAUUGAAUGCCCUGAACUUAAAUCUCAAGGUAUAUCGGUACUGUAGCCCUUCUAGAUUGAUCAAAAUGAGGUUGGCUCCUCCCACUGGCUUGUACUAGAUUCAUCAAUAAAUAGUUUCAAUUGUCAUUAUUUGAGGUUUUUUUUUUUGACUAUCCCUCUAGUUAUGCUAAGGUGCACUUUACUGUGAAAUUAGUCAGCACUUGUGAUUUUAAUACCAAUUUGGAUAAAAAAUAUAGAUCAAAUUCAUUGAGUUUUACUACCCAUUUGAUUAGCCUUCUUGAUAUUUUAGGCUUUUGUAAGACCUAUCUUAGUGGUUGAUCCAUCAAGACGUGGAUCGUGUGGGUCUGAAAGUAUGACCUAAGUUUUUUUGCUGAAGUAACCAUGGCAUAUGUCAAUUUUUCAAUACUAUUGUAGUUAACUUUAGGCUCUAUCAAUACUUUGCUUACAAAAUAGAUUGGUUGUUGCUUUCUCUCUUCUUCUUGGACUAAGACUGAGCUAACAGCUUAAUCCAUGUUGGCUAAGUACAAGUAUAGUCUUUCACUAAUAUUCGAUUUUGACAGGAUAGACGUGAAGGGUAAGAACUCUUUAAGUUCAUGGAAACCUUUUUGGCAUUAAAGAAUCUAUAUGAAGUUAGAGACAUUUCUGAGAGUUUUGAGGAAUGAUAGACAUCAUUCUAUCUAUCUGGACAUAAAUCGACUGAGCACGGCUAUUCUGCCUGUUAGCCUCUAUACCUCUUUCAUCGAGGUCAGCACUUUCAUUUCUAGGAUAGCCUAAACCUUCUUAGGGUUUACCUCUAUCCCUUUUUGGUUGAUCAUGUAGCCAAGAAACUUGCUUAAUGUAACCUUAAAAGUACAUUUGCUUGGGUUGAGUCUUAUAUUAUACUUUCUUAAGGUGUUGAAAGUUUUUCUAAGGACUUCCAGAUGCUCAAUCAAACUUUUUCUCUUGAUGCUCAAUCAAACUUUUUCUCUUGACUAUCAUGUUGUCUACAUACACUUCUAUAUUACGAUUGAUCUGAUCUUUAAAUACUUUAUUGAUCAGCCUCUAGUAGGUUAUUUUUAUAUUUUUUAAUCCGAAAGGCAUGACUUUAUAGCAGUAAAGGCUUUUCUUGAUAAUAAAGGCUAUUUUAUCCUUAUUUUCUUUUAACAUUUUAAUCUGACUAUAACUGGAGUAAGCAUUCAUGAAGUUGAGAAGGCCGUGCUUAACACUAUCAUCCACUAGCCAAUUCGUGCUAGGGAGGAAGAAGUUGUGCUUUGGACAAGCCUUAUUUAGGUUGGUAAAGUCCAUGCACAUCUUUUAUUUUUUGCUAUGUUUUUUGACUAUAACCAUAUUGGCAAUCCAUUCAGGGUAGUAGAUCUCCAUGAUAAAGCCAACUCGUAAUAAUUUGUUGACCUUUUUCUCGAUGGCCUAUUAUUUUUUUGGGAUGAAAGUUCUUUUCUUUUCCCAAACUGGUUUGACCUUAAAAUUAGUAUGCAAUUUGUAGACCAUUACUUCGAUAUCAAUCCUGGGCAUAUCGAAUGGUGUCCAGGCAAAUAGGUCGGUAUUGUCUUUUAUAAGUUGAAUCAAUUGGUCCUUAUGUUAGAGCUUGACUUUGAUUUGUAUAUGUUUUUGAAGAGUAUUAUUUUAAAACAAAAUUGUUAAGAGGUCCUCAACUAGUUCGAGUCGAUUUUUAUCCGAAUCCAAUCUUUGAUUGAUUAUCUUUUUUUGUUCCAUUUGGUCGAUAUCAUUUCCUAUGAAAAUAGGUCCUGACGUGAUGAUCAAUAUAUUGAACAACUUGUUAAGUGUAUUAAUAGAAGUGAAGUGUACUCUUCAUUUAAUUUUUGUUUAGCCAGUGUGUUAGCUCGAUCCAAGUAAUAUUAACUUUUUACGUCGGCUUAAGAGUAAAAGUUUGGUCAUUUUUAUUAUUGUCUUAAAAAAUUCAAAAAAUAAAAAAAGUUAAACUUCUGUGGAGCUUAAGAGCAUAUAGUGGAUUAAGAGUUCACUUUUAUGAGAUCGACUUUACGUUCUAUGCUUUUGUUGUUGAUUUUUUACUCCUUGUUAGCUUUUUGUGUCGAUUUCUUUUAUUAAUCGAGUUGCUUGUCUGCUUCUCAAUCCUACCUUUUAUCAUUAUAACAUAACAUUAUCGUGCUAUGGAUUGGUCUCUCCAAACUUUUUCAACUCCUGUAAAUGUAGAGAAUUUCACUUUCAAGUGUGGAGUUGAGCCUAUGAGUCGCAUGACAGAUUGGCUAGAUUAGCCUAAUAUCAUGUUGUAGGCAGAGGGAAUAUCUAUCACUCUAAAUUCCAUGAUCGAGGUGAUCAUUUUUGGCCUCGUUCCCAGAGAGAUCGAGAGUUUGAUGGUUCUUUUUAGUGGCACUUGUGCAUUUCAAAACCCAACUAGUGUUGUGGUGUCGACUUCAACUGAUAUUCAUUGAUCUUUAUUUUUUUAAAACAGCCAUAGUAUUGUCAGUCAAACUCCCAUUGUCAAAUAGGAUUCUUUUGACCAUAUAGUUGUAUACCAGGGUUGUGAUCACUAUGGCAUCAUCAUGUGAGUGUUGGAUCCCCUCUAGAUCUUUUAAACUGAAUGAGAUCGACUCAUCUCUCUAGUCUUUUUCUUUCUUAGCCGUUGUGCCUAUUGCCAUUACGGAGCCUGGGUUGAUUUUUUUUUUGUUGAGGUGAAGCUGCAUUCUAUGAUCAUGUUAAUCACCUAGCUAAUCGAUCUACUAUUGUCAAUUUGGCCUUUUUCUUGAUUUAUCUCUUCCCCUUGAGCAUAAUUUUUUUAUUGAUUUGAUUUUUUCUUUUUGCCCAUGGUGGGCAUUCUGUUGUCAUUUCUGUAGACCCUUCUAAGUUGGUCUUGUCUUUUCUGCCUUACAAACUUUUUCAAUUGACAUNNNNNNNNNNNNNNNNNNNNNNNNNNNNNNNNNNNNNNNNNNNNNNNNNNNNNNNNNNNNNNNNNNNNNNNNNNNNNNNNNNNNNNNNNNNNNNNNNNNNNNNNNNNNNNNNNNNNNNNNNNNNNNNNNNNNNNNNNNNNNNNNNNNNNNNNNNNNNNNNNNNNNNNNNNNNNNNNNNNNNNNNNNNNNNNNNNNNNNNNNNNNNNNNNNNNNNNNNNNNNNNNNNNNNNNNNNNNNNNNNNNNNNNNNNNNNNNNNNNNNNNNNNNNNNNNNNNNNNNNNNNNNNNNNNNNNNNNNNNNNNNNNNNNNNNNNNNNNNNNNNNNNNNNNNNNNNNNNNNNNNNNNNNNNNNNNNNNNNNNNNNNNNNNNNNNNNNNNNNNNNNNNNNNNNNNNNNNNNNNNNNNNNNNNNNNNNNNNNNNNNNNNNNNNNNNNNNNNNNNNNNNNNNNNNNNNNNNNNNNNNNNNNNNNNNNNNNNNNNNNNNNNNNNNNNNNNNNNNNNNNNNNNNNNNNNNNNNNNNNNNNNNNNNNNNNNNNNNNNNNNNNNNNNNNNNNNNNNNNNNNNNNNNNNNNNNNNNNNNNNNNNNNNNNNNNNNNNNNNNNNNNNNNNNNNNNNNNNNNNNNNNNNNNNNNNNNNNNNNNNNNNNNNNNNNNNNNNNNNNNNNNNNNNNNNNNNNNNNNNNNNNNNNNNNNNNNNNNNNNNNNNNNNNNNNNNNNNNNNNNNNNNNNNNNNNNNNNNNNNNNNNNNNNNNNNNNNNNNNNNNNNNNNNNNNNNNNNNNNNNNNNNNNNNNNNNNNNNNNNNNNNNNNNNNNNNNNNNNNNNNNNNNNNNNNNNNNNNNNNNNNNNNNNNNNNNNNNNNNNNNNNNNNNNNNNNNNNNNNNNNNNNNNNNNNNNNNNNNNNNNNNNNNNNNNNNNNNNNNNNNNNNNNNNNNNNNNNNNNNNNNNNNNNNNNNNNNNNNNNNNNNNNNNNNNNNNNNNNNNNNNNNNNNNNNNNNNNNNNNGGCUCACACUACCCGCAUAUUAUAUCAGCGAUAUAUUUCUGUGCUUAAAAUGCCUACACACAUGCUCCAAGACCACGAUCCCACAAACUGGGCCUCGACAUGCUUAGCACAGGAUCAUCAUGGCAAGAUCGAGGCACACCAAGGCCUGAUCAUGACAAAUAAGCUGUGCACCAAUAGACCUUGUCAUGGUCUCAUCAUUAGAGCUAUGGGCCAUUUUCUCCCAAUCUUAUUCAACUCAUCUUAACUCUUCAGGCCACUUCGCACACAACGCCCCGGAUCCCACAUUCAAACCCAAUACACAUUCCACCUCAUCAAUUUCCAAUCCCCAUAGACUAUGUAAGUUGAUCAUUUCUUGUAAUUAAAUGAAGAUAUAUAAAAACAUACCUAAUAUUAUUAUUCAUUAUAAAAAGCUCUUAACUUUUACAUAAUAAUUUUGUUUUGAAUCAAGCUAAUUGUAUUACUGAAGAUCAUUACAUUCAGUGUUGAUCAUGUCUUGGAUAAUGGAUGGACAGUCCACAAUCAUAUCUCAUCAGAGGCAUUAUUCAAAGCAUGUCUAGCUAAGCAAUGAGCAACGCCAUUUUGCAUUUGGAUUGAUAUAACCCACCUGGAAGGAUCUUAAGGUGCUUCCUAUAGCCCUUACAUCUGCGAGGAUGUUCCCACAUUUGAUAAGUCUUCAUGUCCUUGCUUGCAUCACUCUACCACUUGCAUGGCAUCACCUUCAAGGAAGACACAAUCCAGUCUCAAUAUUUUUGCAGCAGCUAAAGCCUCAACGAUGGUCGGGUCUCUCACAUGGUCCACCUUCGCACAAACGGCUCCCAGGAACUGUCCUCUAUCAUUCCACAUAAUCACCCCAAUUCCCCCCAUGCUGGCAUCUAGGUUGAGAGCUCCAUCAAAAUUUAACUUUGCGAGUCCUCAAGGUGGUGGCUCCCACAUAGUAACAGGUUCAGGUGUUCGUGUUGAUUGGGUCUCAUUUGCCUGUCUACAUUCGCACAGUUAGCUUCGGGCAAAAUGGACCACCAUUUCUGCUGUUCGGUGAGUCCCCUCCUUCCAGCUUGGUUUCCUGGUUUUCCAUGCUGCCCAACAGAGAACCAGGCCCGCUAACCAAACUCGCUGUGUCCACCGCAUCUGCUAUUUCUUCAAUCCAGCCUCCAUCUGCUGCCAGGUUUAUAUUCCUCCAUCUGGGUGGCAAAUCAGCCAGGUUCCAAACUGUGCUGAUACUUUCACAAUGUCACAGAGCAUUUGUUAUUGUCUCCUCAAGUAGACCACAUCUUGGACAUGUAUCAACAUCAAUUCCCCUCUGCCAUAAUCUGUUCUAAACAUGUAGGAAACCGUUAUUUAAUUUCCAAGCAAACAUCUUAAUUUUGUUAGGGAUUUCCAAUCUCUACAAUUUCUUAUAAAAACUCCUUUCCAGGUCAGUCCUUAUACGUAAUAUUAUUUUAAGCUUUUAACUUAAAAAAAAAAAAAUCUUAAAAAGGCAUCCAACAUUCCCUGCUGUGUAACUCGUCUCCAUACGAAAUUGUCCUGGUUCAAUGAACCUCAAAAUCCUAGCUAAUUAUUGUACUUUUUUUCCUGCUAGUAUAUAUUUACCUUUUUGAACCCUAGUUCUAUUCAUGCUUCAUAUAUCCCAAAGGUUUGCUUAGAAGAAACGUGGAAAAAUGUAGGGAGUUUCUUUCCUUUCUCUUCUUUUUUGUCUCUUUUUAUCUUUUUCUUUUUUUUUUUUUUUUAAUUCUAGCUGGAGGAAUACCAAGUUUCUCUGAUAUAUGUCUUUGUUAUUUUGGCAUCUUAAUGAAUGGCAAAUUAAUGUGGAAAGGAUUGCAAAAAAUAAAGUUAAGUUAGUUCCAUGGAACUACAUGUGUUCCUGCUACUACUUUCCAUUCUCUGGUAUAUGCAUCAGUACUCUGGCCUGAACCUUGUGCUACUGCUAUUGCUAGGCCAUUAAUUCUUGCCUUGGCAACAUGAGAGGAAAUUGAAGUGGAUUGAUCGCGGAAGGUUGAUUCCAAAACCAAGGAGUUUGGCUUCCACAAACUAAGAGAAUAGUGGACUGGAGUAGUAAAUAAAGCAAGCAGGGAGUGGCAUGCCCCUCAACCCACUCAAAGCUAUGGAAGCUAGUACCCGAUUCCGAUUAUAAUUCCAAUUUCAUCCUAUCUCAAAGUGCUGGAUACAGAAUCAGAAUCUACUUCAAUUAUUUCAUAGAGAGUUCCCCUUUAAGACUUCAGUUUUCAAAUGUUCUACUGAUCAAGAGGCAGAGAUCCCAGAGUCUAAACUAUCAACAGUUGUAUUUGCUCGAUCGGAUGAUCCCAUUGAUCGUUGAUGCACUCCACCGGGGCCUAUUUCCUUUUUAUUUCUCUUCCAACUUAUAGUCGAGGAGAGUAACUCGAGGAAUGAAGGAGGUAAACAAGAAAUUUUUAUUACAAAAUUAAUUAUAUUUGUGUACACCCGGCCGGUAUAUAUAUUUGGCUCAAUUAUUAAAUACAUGUGUCUCUUGUCGGACCAAUUUCCUUGUUCCUUCAUAUCAUUUCCGCCCCUUGAUAUCAAUUAUUUUGGCCGGCAUAUAUAUUUUUGUGUAUUGUGAUUUUUACCUCAUAUCAUUCCUGGCCCCUUGAUAAGCUUCAGUUUUCAGGAUUCUUCUUUCAUUUUUUUUUUUUUCCUUUAAAUCUAGUGGGAAGUGGUCCUUUUACUUUAUGCAAGCUUUUGUGGUGCCUUGUGGAUAUGCUUAGUAUUUAUCUCCACAUGCUUUGGUUUUUUUUUUUUGUUGGGCUCAAUGUUAUCAUUGUUUAAAGAUGGCAAAUAUCCAGGAAGCUGUGUGAUGAUCAAAUUUUUUCUUGAGGG
This 37820-nucleotide long non-coding RNA is filed under the name Durio zibethinus. RNAcentral describes it as "long non-coding RNA (DZIB_LNC002026)". Lineage: Eukaryota; Viridiplantae; Streptophyta; Magnoliopsida; Malvales; Malvaceae. The record is from RNAcentral.